UAAGCCAUGCAAGUCUCAGUACAUGCCGCACUAAGGUGAAACCGCAAAAGGCUCAUUAAAUCAGUUAUGGUUCCUUGGAUCUUAAACAGUUACUUGGAUAACUGUGGUAAUUCUAGAGCUAAUACAUGCAAACAAGUCCCGACCAGAGAUGGGAGGGACGCUUUUAUUAGAUCAAAACCGAUCGGCGUCCGGCUCCGGCCGGCGCCGUCUCUUUUGGUGACUCUGGAUAACUUUUAGCCGAUCGCACGGUCACAGUACCGGCGACGCAUCUUUCAAAUGUCUGACUUAUCAACUGUCGAUGGUAGGCUCUGCGCCUACCAUGGUUGUAACGGGUAACGGGGAAUCAGGGUUCGAUUCCGGAGAGGGAGCCUGAGAAACGGCUACCACAUCCAAGGAAGGCAGCAGGCGCGCAAAUUACCCACUCCCGGCACGGGGAGGUAGUGACGAAAAAUAACGAUACGGGACUCAUCCGAGGCCCCGUAAUCGGAAUGAGUACACUUUAAAUACUUUAACGAGUACCAAUUGGAGGGCAAGUCUGGUGCCAGCAGCCGCGGUAAUUCCAGCUCCAAUAGCGUAUAUUAAAGUUGUUGCGGUUAAAAAGCUCGUAGUUGGAUCUGUGUGCCACGCUGUCGGUUCACCGCCCGUCGGUGUCAACUGGCAUGUCUGUGGGACGUCCUGCCGGUGGCGGUACGGGCUGCCGGCGCUGCGUAGGGGCACAACCCCGAAGCACGCCGGCGUGUCCCGGUCCGCCGAUCCAAUCCCGCCGCGGUGCUCUUCACUGAGUGUCGAGGUGGGCCGGCACGUUUACUUUGAACAAAUUAGAGUGCUCAAAUCAGGUCGUAUUUAGGCCUGAAUAUUGUGU
Molecule: ribosomal RNA, 862 nt
Filed under: Platypleura hilpa
Lineage: Eukaryota; Metazoa; Arthropoda; Insecta; Hemiptera; Cicadidae
Description: SSU rRNA
Rfam family: Eukaryotic small subunit ribosomal RNA
Source: RNAcentral